CAAAGUCGCGGGCAAAAGCUAGAUUCGAUAAAUUUUCAUUUGUACAUGUCAAAUAUUUGUUGUUUCUAAAUUCAAAUUCUGUAAAUAAUGAUUGACAUUUAUGCAUAAACUAUGAAAAGGGUGAAUAAACAAUUGUCUGUAUUUUUUUAAUCUAUUGAAAAUGUUGAAAAGUGCAUUAAGCAUUAAUAGAAAUUCCUCAAAUAUUAAUUAUGCGUGCGUUCAGAAAUAAUGACAAAUUAUCAACAGUUACGCGUGUGUUCAGAAAUUUAUUUUGUGUAAAUUAAAGUUUCUAUUCACGUUUUCGAACAAACGAUGCUCUUUCAAUAUAGUCUAUUGGUGUGAAUGACAUUGACAUUCGUAUUGCGCGUUUUUUAAAAUAUGCAAAAUUAAAUGUAUAUUUUUCAAUAUUUCUGAGAGAUUAUCUUAAUAUUUCUUCGAGUUUUAAAGACUAAGAAGAUUUUUAUUUGCUAAUAAGUGUUUGUUAAUCAAGUUGGAAUUUCGUUUUUAACAAUGCUACCAACCAGACGUACAAGCUUAGGCCGCAGAACUCGAAAUACGGCAAGUCAAAGAAAUACAAGAGCAAAUCAAACUGAUGAGCAACGCGAAGCGCGAAAUGAACUUGAACUGAAUCGAUAUCAAGAUAUAAAUGUUGUGUUUAAUCCCCACAAAGCUGCAUUCAGUUAUAAUGUGGCAAUUGAUUACAGUUCAGAGCAAAUUGUUGCUAUUGGACUAAUGAACAUUGUGUGUCCACAUUGGGAUUAAAAUUAAAAAAUGAAGCCUCUGGAUUAUGUUGCGCCAGCGGCCAAGUCAAAUUGACGCCAUUGGUACCGCCACCAGAGCCACUACAUUCAUUGGUUCAUUUUUUGACUCAUAUCCAGCAGUACAAUAAUUGCUUUCAAAUGACAUCAUUUGGGGCAACAAAAGUUAUACGAGACAAUUUUUUGCCUACUUUUAGCAAAUUCAGGGAUUCAAAUAUAUCAUCAAACAGGUUCCUUAUUGCCAGUGCCUGUUGAAGACUAUACAUUUUUGCAAAUAUAUUUUAUGGACAAUUCAGCAAGAGAAGUCGAUCAGCGUUGCGCGCACCACAACUCAGUAAAGAGAUCCAUUGUGAUGAACAACUUCAAACAUUUUUCCUUCAACACAAUGAAUUAGUUGCAUUAGACCGAUGCAUUAGACAUUCACAAAUGCAUUAGACCGCAUGCCAUCAGAUAAUCACAAAAUUGGCAUCAGAGCCGAUAAGGCGCCUGCAGGACAGUGAAAUGAUUGAAUCCUAUGAAAUAAACACUAUUAUGAAAAUAUAUUUUGUU
This is a long non-coding RNA of Spodoptera frugiperda (fall armyworm), 1307 nucleotides long. RefSeq lists it as uncharacterized. The transcript has 3 exons. The record is from RefSeq and is a predicted model, not a curated record. Lineage: Eukaryota; Metazoa; Arthropoda; Insecta; Lepidoptera; Noctuidae.